UCGAGAUCGAACCUCUGGGAGGGGGAGGGCUUCCCCGAACCCUUUCGAGGCUUCAGCCCUCUAACACCUGUGUGCACCCGCUGUAGGUCCUUAGGGACCUAUGUCUUCUUCGAACUCGCAUGUCUACAGAACGUCGUCCGUGACCUCGGUCACAGGAAACCUAAUA
This 166-nucleotide unclassified non-coding RNA is filed under the name uncultured Scleroderma. RNAcentral describes it as "sequence contains ITS1". The record is from RNAcentral. Lineage: Eukaryota; Fungi; Basidiomycota; Agaricomycetes; Boletales; Sclerodermataceae.